UGUCAGUGAUCCCUCUCCUCGCCGUCCGAGGAGGGAUUCCACUCAACCGUCCAACCCGGAGGGAGUUGGGGCGGCCAAGUGCCAACAGAAGAAGGCUCGGGAGCAGCAAUUUCACCUGAAAAGAAAAGCCACAACAAGGCUGAGCUACUAAGCUCAACAAGACUUAACCGACCGGGAGUAAAGCUACUCCACCACUGCUAGACAUGCAAGGCUCUUUGGCUGAGGGG
This 227-nucleotide long non-coding RNA is filed under the name Setaria viridis. Its description in RNAcentral is "long non-coding RNA (SVIR_LNC010254)". The record is from RNAcentral. Lineage: Eukaryota; Viridiplantae; Streptophyta; Magnoliopsida; Poales; Poaceae.